RNAcentral lists this long non-coding RNA (317 nucleotides) under Glycine max (soybean). Its description in RNAcentral is "long non-coding RNA (GMAX_LNC000205)". Lineage: Eukaryota; Viridiplantae; Streptophyta; Magnoliopsida; Fabales; Fabaceae. The record is from RNAcentral.
GAACUUAGAAGAAUUAGCAAACAAGAAACAGAUUCUAAUCGGUUAUAUUAUAUAUAACUCUAUUAGGUGCUUUGUAGAAGAAAUAUAUAACAGUGCCUAUAUUAUAUACAUCUCUAGAAAAUUCAUCCCCUAUAGAACAAGUAGAAACACAAACCUAUUAGUUCAAAGUGAAAAGAAAAAGAUACAGGGAGAAGAAAAUCAUGCAUAUGGCGGCGCGGUGUGGCUCGAUCGGCGUUUACUUUUUUAUGGUAUUUCCUUUCCUACUCCGUUAUAAGAAUUUGUGCAUGAUAUUCAAAACCAGAUAACCACGACUAUGC